Molecule: ribosomal RNA, 395 nt
Filed under: uncultured bacterium
Lineage: Bacteria
Description: partial 16S ribosomal RNA
Rfam family: Bacterial small subunit ribosomal RNA
Source: RNAcentral
AUACGUAGGGUGCAAGCGUUAAUCGGAAUUACUGGGCGUAAAGCGUGCGCAGGCGGUUUUGUAAGACAGAGGGGAAAUCCCCGGGCUCAACCUGGGAACUGCCUUUGUGACUGCAAGGCUAGAGGACGGCAGAGGGGGGUGGAAUUCCGCGUGGUGCAGUGAAAUGCGUAGAUAAGCGGAGGAACACCGAUGGCGAAGGCAAUCCCCUGGGCCUGUACUGACGCUCAUGCACGAAAGCGUGGGGAGCAAACAGGAUUAGAUACCCUGGUAGUCCACGCCCUAAACGAUGUCAACUGGUUGUUGGGUCUUCAUUGACUCAGUAACGAAGCUAACGCGUGAAGUUGACCGCCUGGGGAGUACGGCCGCAAGGUUGAAACUCAAAUGAAUUGACGGGG